This 384-nucleotide ribosomal RNA is filed under the name Pseudo-nitzschia fraudulenta. RNAcentral describes it as "partial Bacterial large subunit ribosomal RNA". It matches the Rfam family "Bacterial large subunit ribosomal RNA", at positions 1346 to 1844 of the family's 2925-position model. The record is from RNAcentral. Lineage: Eukaryota; Bacillariophyta; Bacillariophyceae; Bacillariales; Bacillariaceae.
CAAGGGUUCCUGCUUAAAGUUAAUCUGAGCAGGGUUAGUCGGCCCCUAAGGCGAGGCCGAAAGGCGUAGUCGAUGGGAAGCAGGUUAAUAUUCCUGCACCAGUGGGUAGUGACGGAUGUUGUAAGUUGUAUCUCCUUAUCGGAUUGGAGAUGCAGCGAAGACGUUCCAGGAAAUAGCUCCCACAUCAGACCGUACCCUAAACCGACACAGGUGGACUGGUAGAGAAUACCAAGGCGCUUGAGAGAACGAUGUUGAAGGAACUCGGCAAAAUACCUCCGUAAGUUCGCGAGAAGGAGGCCCGGUACAAGAGUGCCGGGGGCACAAACCAGGGGGUGGCGACUGUUUAUUAAAAACACAGGGCUCUGCGAAGUCGCAAGACGACGU